CCUACGUGGGGCAGCAGUGGGGAAUAUUGCACAAUGGGCGCAAGCCUGAUGCAGCCAUGCCGCGCGUAUGAAGAAGGCCUUCGGGUUGUAAAGUACUUUCAGCGGGGAGGAAGGCGAUAAGGUUAAUGACCUUGUCGAUUGACGUUACCCGCAGAAGAAGCACUGGCUAACUCCGUGCCAGCAGCCGCGGUAAUACGGAGGGUGCAAGCGUUAAUCGGAAUUACUGGGCGUAAGGCGCACGCAGGCGGUCUGUCAAGUCGGAUGUGAAAUCCCCGGGCUCAACCUGGGAACUGCAUUCGAAACUGGCAGGCUAGAGUCUUGUAGAGGGGGGUAGAAUUCCAGGUGUAGCGGUGAAAUGCGUAGAGAUCUGGAGGAAUACCGGUGGCGAAGGCGGCCCCCUGGACAAAGACUGACGCUCAGGUGCGAAAGCGUGGGGAGCAAACAGGAUUAGAUACCCCGGUAGUC
RNAcentral lists this ribosomal RNA (465 nucleotides) under uncultured bacterium. RNAcentral's name for it is "bacterial SSU rRNA". It matches the Rfam family "Bacterial small subunit ribosomal RNA", at positions 338 to 795 of the family's 1533-position model. The record is from RNAcentral.